RNAcentral lists this ribosomal RNA (161 nucleotides) under Amaranthus tenuifolius. RNAcentral describes it as "5.8S ribosomal RNA". It matches the Rfam family "5.8S ribosomal RNA". Rfam says of the family: 5.8S ribosomal RNA (5.8S rRNA) is a component of the large subunit of the eukaryotic ribosome. It is transcribed by RNA polymerase I as part of the 45S precursor that also contains 18S and 28S rRNA. The record is from RNAcentral. Lineage: Eukaryota; Viridiplantae; Streptophyta; Magnoliopsida; Caryophyllales; Amaranthaceae.
ACGACUCUCGGCAACGGAUAUCUUGGCUCUCGCAUCGAUGAAGAACGUAGCGAAAUGCGAUACUUGGUGUGAAUUGCAGAAUCCCGUGAACCAUCGAGUUUUUGAACGCAAGUUGCGCCCGAAGCCUUUGGCCAGGGCACGUCUGCCUGGGCGUCACGCAU